Molecule: long non-coding RNA, 1953 nt
Organism: Pan troglodytes (chimpanzee)
Lineage: Eukaryota; Metazoa; Chordata; Mammalia; Primates; Hominidae
Exons: 3
Source: RefSeq, a predicted model, not a curated record
AACCACACAUACACACACAUUUACCACACUUGGCUCUUAUAGACUGGAAGGACAGAUGCUCUUCCUGAGCAAAGGGGCCGACCUGCAGAAAGAAAGUCAGCUCACAGGAAGCAGGACCAAAAUGUUUUGCUCGCCGCUGUGGCUUUAUCAACAAAAAUACUAUCUGACACUGACUUAUUCGUUGCAUAAGUAAAGGAAAUAAACAGCUGGCUUUCCCCUAUGGAAAUGAGGAACUGCUGAAGAUUCUGAGGAGGCCGGGUAACAGAACUCAGGCCCUAGGAGAUGAAUGGUUGGUUAACCCUGCGUGCACUCGAGAAAGGAACCCAGCAGCCGCAUCCUGCCUUUCCUGUUUUGCGCACCAUCCUCCUAGUCACCCAGGCUUGAGACCUGCAAGUUCUCGGACACCUCCCAUCUAGAGAGCCACCUGGCCCACCAUCCCUUCCUUUCCUCAUCUUUGCUGCUACCACACCCUAGGUUUUGACCACAUAAAUGUAGGGCCCUGCCAGCCUCCCAGCUCAUCCUUCUGCUCCAGACUCCUCCUCUUACACUGUCUUGUACCACACCACCAGAGUGUUCUUCCCCAGACACCCACUGCUCUGUUCAAAAGUCUUCAAUCAAGCACAUAUUCUCAGGAUCUCCUGAGGGCUGUGUCAAAAAAAAAAAAAAAAAAAAAAAAAAAGUCUUCAGUUGCUUCCCACUGCCCAGAGGAAAAUGUCUACUCAGUCAGUACUUCGGUUUUCCUCAAUCUGACCCAUACUUCCCCUCCCCUCCUAAACUUCCUCUAGCCUAGACUGAGGACAGUAUACUCACUUCUCACCCUAGUCUCCAGACUUGUGCUAUCUAAUCCAGAAGCUGUUAGUCACAUUUAGCUAUUUAAAAUAAUUAAAAUUAAACACAAUUUAAAAUUCUGUUCCUUGAUGGCACUAGCCACAUUCAGACUAGUGGCUACCAUAUUGGACAGCAUAGAAAGAAAAUACUUUCAUCAUUGCAGCAAGUUUGAUUGGAGAGUGGUGCUCUAACUUUUGAUGGCCUCCCAAUCAAUUUCUACUCCUUCCACCAAUUGUUAUCUGCCUGUAAGAACAGCAUUGGCGCCAUGAUGCUGGCUCUAACAAUCUGGGCAGGAGCAAUCCCUCCCUCCUCUAAAUCCCAUGUGGAAGUUUUACUGGGAUCACUCGAACGUUACUGCCAUGUCUAUCUUUCCUUAAUUUCUUGGUAAUACAAAGUUCAGUGGGAAGAGAUUAUUUUGAAAAUCUAAAAUUCCUGAUGAAACACCACAGAACAAUUUUACAAACACCUCCACUUCAAAAACAAACUGAUGAAGGAAUAAUGUAGUUGGGGUGGCCAAUAGUAAUAAAAUGAUUCUGUGCCUAAAAACUUAAAGGAAUUCUACUACCGAUGAUUUGCUUCUAUCAUAAGCACUGGUGCAUGCCGAGACUAGAAGUCUGGCUUUCUAUAUCCACAGUUUAAAUCAUUAUUGACUUAUGCUUUGUGCUGGGUGAUGGAUUUCUUCUCAUCUGCGGAUGGUAAAUGGCCUUAUUCAAAAAGAGACACAAGACUAAAGUCGACGGUACCACGUCAGUGAUUCUUUCAGAACUGUACACUUGAUGCCACUAAUUGCUAGACUGCCUGCUUUUCCCACAAAUUACGCAGUUACGGGCCUGAACUCUACGGCAGGGACAGCAGAAAACAUGUAAAGCACUGUGGGAAUGCAGAGUGGCAGCGGCAAAGGCUCUAAAUUAGGUCUACUGUGGUCCCUGGACCUGCAGCAGCAGAAUCACUGUGAACUGGAUAGAAAUACAGGUCUAGGGCCCCCCUCCAGACCUACAGACACAGAAACUCUGGGGGCAGGGCAGAGACCAGUAUUUGUUGGGUUUGGGGUUUGUUUAUCCUUUUAAUUGAAAUAUAGUUAUAACUUAUACUUGGUACAAUAUACAAAUCUUAUUGUACAGUUCC